ACAUUCGUGGGAUGCAAUGUGAUUUUUUGAAAUAUGUAUCCAAUGUGGGAUGAUUACAUCACAUUAACUUAUCCAUCGCCUUGUUUACCUAUGACUUUUAUGUGAUCUUUGUGAACAGCCAUGACUCCUCUCUCAAGUCGGAGCCCUUUUCAGGUCCCCAGAAAACUUGGAGAAGAAAAGUCUAACCUGAAAAGCCAUAUCCCUAGACCAUUUCUUCUCUUCCAGCUGGAAAGGAACUAUGGGGCAAACAGGCAAUGUUGCAACUUAACCCUGUGUUAGGUUGUUUUUUUUUUUUUUUUUUUUUUUAGACAGAGUCUCGCUCUGUCGCACAGGCUGGAGUGCAGUGGCAAUCUCGGCUCACUGCAACCUCCACCUCCCAGGUUCAAGUAAUUCUCCUGCCUCGGCCUGCCGAGUAGCUGGGAUUACAGGUGCGCGCCACCAUGCCCAGCUAAUUGUGAUCCGCCCACCUUGGCCUCCCAAAGUGCUGGGAUUACAGGCAUGAGCCUGUAUGAUCCCAGGGUGCCCUCUGUCCUCCUGCAAGUGCUUGUUAUCUUUCUUUUUAAAUUAAAAAAAAUUUUUUGUGGCUACAUAGUAGGUAUAUGUAUAUAUAUAUGUAUAUGUAUAUAUAUAUAUUUAUGGGGUAUAUGGGAUAUUUUGAUUCAGGCACACAGUGU
RNAcentral lists this long non-coding RNA (674 nucleotides) under Homo sapiens (human). RNAcentral describes it as "HSALNT0280903". Lineage: Eukaryota; Metazoa; Chordata; Mammalia; Primates; Hominidae. The record is from RNAcentral.